GUUCGUAUUAGGGUAUAUGUUAAUGUUUAGUGAUUGUGUAGGGAAUACUGUGUAGUGUAAGGGUUAACAGUUCGUGUUAGGGUAUAGUUUAAUGUUUAGUGAUUGUGUAGGGAAUACUGUGUAGAGUAAGGGUUAACAGUUCGUAUUAGGGUAUAUGUUAAUGUUUAGUGAUCGUGUAGGGAAUACUGUGUAGUGUAAGGGUUAGCAGU
Molecule: non-coding RNA, 209 nt
Organism: Pelobates cultripes (western spadefoot toad)
Lineage: Eukaryota; Metazoa; Chordata; Amphibia; Anura; Pelobatidae
Source: the annotation of a GenBank genome assembly